RNAcentral lists this ribosomal RNA (492 nucleotides) under uncultured bacterium. RNAcentral's name for it is "partial 16S ribosomal RNA". It matches the Rfam family "Bacterial small subunit ribosomal RNA", at positions 29 to 507 of the family's 1533-position model. The record is from RNAcentral.
AGUGAACGCUGGCGGUAGGCCUAACACAUGCAAGUCGAACGGCAGCACAGUAAGAGCUUGCUCUUACGGGUGGCGAGUGGCGGACGGGUGAGGAAUACAUCGGAAUCUACUUUUUCGUGGGGGAUAACGUAGGGAAACUUACGCUAAUACCGCAUACGACCUACGGGUGAAAGCAGGGGAUCUUCGGACCUUGCGCGAUUGAAUGAGCCGAUGUCGGAUUAGCUAGUUGGCGGGGUAAAGGCCCACCAAGGCGACGAUCCGUAGCUGGUCUCAGAGGAUGAUCAGCCACACUGGAACUGAGACACGGUCCAGACGCCUACGGGAGGCAGCAGUGGGGAAUAUUGGACAAUGGGCGCAAGACUGAUCCAGCCAUACCGCGUGGGUGAAGAAGGCCUUCGGGUUGUAAAGCCCUUUUGUUGGGAAAGAAAAGCAGCAGGUUAAUACCCCGCUGUUCUGACGGUACCCAAAGAAUAAGCACCGGCUAACUUCGUG